AGAGUUUGAUCCUGGCUCAGGAUGAACGCUGGCGGCGUGCCUAAUACAUGCAAGUCGAGCGAACGGACGAGAAGCUUGCUUCUCUGAUGUUAGCGGCGGACGGGUGAGUAACACGUGGAUAACCUACCUAUAAGACUGGGAUAACUUCGGGAAACCGGAGCUAAUACCGGAUAAUAUUUUGAACCGCAUGGUUCAAAAGUGAAAGACGGUCUUGCUGUCACUUAUAGAUGGAUCCGCGCUGCAUUAGCUAGUUGGUAAGGUAACGGCUUACCAAGGCAACGAUGCAUAGCCGACCUGAGAGGGUGAUCGGCCACACUGGAACUGAGACACGGUCCAGACUCCUACGGGAGGCAGCAGUAGGGAAUCUUCCGCAAUGGGCGAAAGCCUGACGGAGCAACGCCGCGUGAGUGAUGAAGGUCUUCGGAUCGUAAAACUCUGUUAUUAGGGAAGAACAUAUGUGUAAGUAACUGUGCACAUCUUGACGGUACCUAAUCAGAAAGCCACGGCUAACUACGUGCCAGCAGCCGCGGUAAUACGUAGGUGGCAAGCGUUAUCCGGAAUUAUUGGGCGUAAAGCGCGCGUAGGCGGUUUUUUAAGUCUGAUGUGAAAGCCCACGGCUCAACCGUGGAGGGUCAUUGGAAACUGGAAAACUUGAGUGCAGAAGAGGAAAGUGGAAUUCCAUGUGUAGCGGUGAAAUGCGCAGAGAUAUGGAGGAACACCAGUGGCGAAGGCGACUUUCUGGUCUGUAACUGACGCUGAUGUGCGAAAGCGUGGGGAUCAAACAGGAUUAGAUACCCUGGUAGUCCACGCCGUAAACGAUGAGUGCUAAGUGUUAGGGGGUUUCCGCCCCUUAGUGCUGCAGCUAACGCAUUAAGCACUCCGCCUGGGGAGUACGACCGCAAGGUUGAAACUCAAAGGAAUUGACGGGGACCCGCACAAGCGGUGGAGCAUGUGGUUUAAUUCGAAGCAACGCGAAGAACCUUACCAAAUCUUGACAUCCUUUGACAACUCUAGAGAUAGAGCUUUCCCCUUCGGGGGACAAAGUGACAGGUGGUGCAUGGUUGUCGUCAGCUCG
This 1075-nucleotide ribosomal RNA is filed under the name Staphylococcus aureus F70051. Its description in RNAcentral is "bacterial SSU rRNA". It matches the Rfam family "Bacterial small subunit ribosomal RNA", at positions 8 to 1062 of the family's 1533-position model. The record is from RNAcentral. Lineage: Bacteria; Bacillati; Bacillota; Bacilli; Caryophanales; Staphylococcaceae. RNAcentral also lists the same sequence under 1 other name.